UCGAGGAUAUUUAGCAAUGGACGAAAGUCUGACUAUGUGACGCCGCGUGAGGGAUGAAGGUCUUCGGAUCGUAAACCUCUUUCGAUGGGGAAGAAAACCUGUUCUUAACGGAACAGACUGACGGUACCCAGAGAAGAAGCCACGGCCAACUCUGUGCCAGCAGCCGCGGUAAUACGGAGGGUGCAAGCGUUAUUCGGAAUUACUGGGCGUAAAGGGCGUGCAGGCGGGAGAGCAAGUCUGAUGUGAAAGCCCGGGGCUUAACCCCGGAAGGGCAUUGGAAACUGCUUUUCUUGAGUUCUGGAGAGGAAGGGAGAAUUCCCGGUGUAGAGGUGAAAUUCGUAGAGAUCGGGAGGAACAUCAGUGGCGAAGGCGCCCUUCUGGACAGCAACUGACGCUGAGACGCGAAAGCGUGGGGAGCAAACA
This 423-nucleotide ribosomal RNA is filed under the name uncultured prokaryote. Its description in RNAcentral is "bacterial SSU rRNA". It matches the Rfam family "Bacterial small subunit ribosomal RNA", at positions 355 to 774 of the family's 1533-position model. The record is from RNAcentral.